Molecule: transfer RNA, 66 nt
Filed under: Klebsiella pneumoniae
Lineage: Bacteria; Pseudomonadati; Pseudomonadota; Gammaproteobacteria; Enterobacterales; Enterobacteriaceae
Also listed under: 6 other names
Description: tRNA-Lys
Source: RNAcentral
GUCGUUAGCUCAGUUGGUAGAGCAGUUGACUUUUAAUCAAUUGGUCGCAGGUUCGGGUCGAACGCA